UAGUGCUUAGCUCACUUGGUAGAGCAUCGCCCUUACAAGGCGAGGGUCGUAGGUUCGAGUCCUACAGCACCGACCAU
This is a non-coding RNA of Dermacentor silvarum, 77 nucleotides long. The record is from the annotation of a RefSeq genome assembly. NCBI's taxonomy places the organism in Eukaryota, Metazoa, Arthropoda, Arachnida, Ixodida, Ixodidae.